AAUAGACCAAUUUUUCACUUUUUAUCUUCAAUUUUUAACUCUUUAUCUUAUCCAAAAAAUGUUUACGAUUAAUAUUUUUAUUUUUAUUAGAUGAUAAAUUAUAAAUAAUAUUUUACGUGUGACUAAUUUUUUUCUAAUUUUCUAAAAAAUUUUCAAAUACACAGAUGGUCAAACGUUGGACACGAAAACCGAAGAAUUCGUUUUUU
Molecule: microRNA precursor, 206 nt
Filed under: Oryza brachyantha (malo sina)
Lineage: Eukaryota; Viridiplantae; Streptophyta; Magnoliopsida; Poales; Poaceae
Description: MIR812 microRNA precursor family
Rfam family: MIR812 microRNA precursor family
Source: Rfam by way of RNAcentral